This 254-nucleotide ribosomal RNA is filed under the name uncultured bacterium. RNAcentral describes it as "partial 16S ribosomal RNA". It matches the Rfam family "Bacterial small subunit ribosomal RNA", at positions 524 to 776 of the family's 1533-position model. The record is from RNAcentral.
UACGUAGGGGGCGAGCGUUGUCCGGAUUCAUUGGGCGUAAAGAGCUCGUAGGCGGCUUGGCAAGUCGGAUGUGAAAACUCCAGGCUCAACCUGGAGCCGCCAUUCGAUACUGCUAUGGCUAGAGUCCGGUAGGGGAGUGUGGAAUUCCCGGUGUAGCGGUGAAAUGCGCAGAUAUCAGGAGGAACACCGGUGGCGAAGGCGGGACUCUGGGCCGAUACUGACGCUGAGGAGCGAAAGCGUGGGGAGCAAACAGG